UUAAAAUGGAGCGAUGUACUGGGGGUGCCUUAAAGUGGUAUGCUAGUACAGUGCAUUGGAACGAAGCCUUUGAUGACAAAGUACCACAACUCUCUCUUUCGCCUUCCUUCUAAUUUUUUUCUUUGGAAAGUUGUGUAACAGUCUGACCGUGAAGGAUUGAGUCCACUACUGAAGUAGUCCUCCCAGGUUUUGACCCUUGCCUGUUUUCUGGACUCCAUUCCCGCCUGCCUGACUAUUCUGCCUGCCUGCCCUUCGGUACUUACUGGACUCAAAACUGGUUUGGACUUUUUGCCUGUACACGACCAUUCUCCUGCCUACCCCCUUUUCUGGAUGAAUAAACAUCUAAGACUCCAA
Long non-coding RNA from Oncorhynchus gorbuscha (pink salmon), 354 nucleotides. RefSeq lists it as uncharacterized. The record is from RefSeq and is a predicted model, not a curated record. Lineage: Eukaryota; Metazoa; Chordata; Actinopteri; Salmoniformes; Salmonidae. The transcript has 2 exons.